GGCUUCGUGGUCCAGUGGUGAGGACACUGCCUCUCACCCUGGAGUCCCGAGUUGGAACCCCGGUCGAGGAGCUA
Molecule: non-coding RNA, 74 nt
Organism: Rhamnusium bicolor
Lineage: Eukaryota; Metazoa; Arthropoda; Insecta; Coleoptera; Cerambycidae
Source: the annotation of a GenBank genome assembly